RNAcentral lists this ribosomal RNA (466 nucleotides) under uncultured bacterium. RNAcentral describes it as "partial 16S ribosomal RNA". It matches the Rfam family "Bacterial small subunit ribosomal RNA", at positions 28 to 507 of the family's 1533-position model. The record is from RNAcentral.
GAUGAACGCUGGCGGCGUGCUUAACACAUGCAAGUCGAACGGAAAGGCUCCUGCUUGCAGGGGUACUCGAGUGGCGAACGGGUGAGUAACACGUGGGUGAUCUGCCCAGCACUUCGGGAUAAGCCUGGGAAACUGGGUCUAAUACCGGAUAGGACGAUGGUUUGGAUGCCAUUGUGGAAAGUUUUUUCGGUGUGGGAUGAGCUCGCGGCCUAUCAGCUUGUUGGUGGGGUAAUGGCCUACCAAGGCGUCGACGGGUAGCCGGCCUGAGAGGGUGUACGGCCACAUUGGGACUGAGAUACGGCCCAGACUCCUACGGGAGGCAGCAGUGGGGAAUAUUGCACAAUGGGCGCAUGCCUGAUGCAGCGACGCCGCGUGGGGGAUGACGGCCUUCGGGUUGUAAACUCCUUUCGCUAGGGACGAAGCGCAAGUGACGGUACCUGGAGAAGAAGCACCGGCUAACUACGUG